UACGUAGGGAGCGGGCGUUGGCCGGAUUCAUUGGGCGUAAAGAGCUCGUAGGCGGCUUGAUAAGUCGGAUGUGAAACCUCCAGGCUCAACCUGGAGUCGCCAUCCGAUACUGUCAUAGCUAGAGUCCGGUAGGCGCCCACGGAACUCCUGGUGUAGCGGUGAAAUGCGCAGAUAUCAGGAAGAACGCCAGUGGCGAAGGCGGUGGGCUGGGCCGGUACUGACGCUGAGGAGCGAAAGCGUGGGGAGCGAACAGG
RNAcentral lists this ribosomal RNA (254 nucleotides) under uncultured bacterium. RNAcentral describes it as "partial 16S ribosomal RNA". It matches the Rfam family "Bacterial small subunit ribosomal RNA", at positions 524 to 776 of the family's 1533-position model. The record is from RNAcentral.